This 399-nucleotide ribosomal RNA is filed under the name Triticum aestivum (bread wheat). RNAcentral's name for it is "partial small subunit ribosomal RNA". The record is from RNAcentral. Lineage: Eukaryota; Viridiplantae; Streptophyta; Magnoliopsida; Poales; Poaceae.
AUGGCGGCAACAUUUCCUAACGUGAGCAUGAUCGUGCAUCGUCCCAGGACGAGGAAAGAAAUCGUUGUCCAGGCGCCUGUUGAUGAACCAGAGGACAAGCCUAUGAUUGUGGGCCACAAAGGCAAGGGGCCUGCUGUUGACGUGGUCUACCGCAGGUGCAGCAGACAGACAACCAUGCAUGAGGUGCUCAGAGUGGCAUGUUCUUCCUCUAGAGAUCAUAUGCCUGUCCAUCAUCCCGUGGUUGCGCCUGUAGACACUCAUAUGACUGAAGUUGUGCCGGAUGCUUUGCAGAUGCAAAAUGAUCAACUUGCGAGAAUUGCCAUGACCACACGAAUAGGGAACAGGAGGUUGGCACUGCCUGAUAAUGGGGAACAAAGCAACCCGGUUCCUCUUAGUUAG